AUUGGGAGUGCAGGGGCGAAACCUCCGCGGUAUUGAUCUGUAUGUUUUUGGGCCUAGGACUUAUUUGUAUGCACGUAUUAUAUAAGUGCGUUUAGUGGGUUGUUUCGGGUUGUUCUCAUAGACACGAAAUUGAGACUAUCGUCUCCACGUGUGUACUCCUCUCCAUUAUAGUGAAUUCCUCUGCCUCUGCCCGUAGUUUUUCC
RNAcentral lists this long non-coding RNA (203 nucleotides) under Capsicum annuum. Its description in RNAcentral is "long non-coding RNA (CANN_LNC004135)". The record is from RNAcentral. Lineage: Eukaryota; Viridiplantae; Streptophyta; Magnoliopsida; Solanales; Solanaceae.